CAAUAGCGUAUAUUUAAGUUGUUGCAGUUAAAAAGCUCGUAGUCGGAUUUUGGCUGAGAACGAUCGGUCCGCCGUUAGGUGUGCACUGAUUGGUCGCAGCUUCCUGGUGAGGAGGUGUGCUUCACGGCCACUUAGUCACCGUGGUUACUUUGAAAAAAUUAGAGUGUUCAAAGCGGGCUUACGCUUGAAUAUAUUAGCAUGGAAUAACACCAUAGGACUCCUGUCCUAUUUCGUUGGUCUCGGGACGGGAGUAAUGAUUAAGAGGAACAGUUGGGGGCAUUCGUAUUUCAUUGUCAGAGGUGAAAUUCUUGGAUUUAUGAAAGACGAACUUCUGCGAAAGCAUUUGCCAAGGAUGUUUUCAUUGA
Molecule: ribosomal RNA, 365 nt
Filed under: uncultured eukaryote
Lineage: Eukaryota
Description: partial 18S ribosomal RNA
Rfam family: Eukaryotic small subunit ribosomal RNA
Source: RNAcentral